UACGAAGGGGGCAAGCGUUGUUCGGAAUUAUUGGGCGUAAAGGGUGCGUAGGCGGUCUGAUAAGUCAUCUGUGAAAUCUAUGGGCUCAACUCAUAGUCUGCAUGAGAAACUGCCGGGCUUGAGUAUGGGAGAGGUGAGUGGAAUUCCUGGUGUAGCGGUGAAAUGCGUAGAUAUCAGGAGGAACACCUGUGGCGAAAGCGGCUCACUGGACCAUAACUGACGCUGAGGCACGAAAGCGAGGGGAGCAAACAGG
RNAcentral lists this ribosomal RNA (253 nucleotides) under uncultured bacterium. RNAcentral's name for it is "partial 16S ribosomal RNA". It matches the Rfam family "Bacterial small subunit ribosomal RNA", at positions 524 to 776 of the family's 1533-position model. The record is from RNAcentral.